Molecule: ribosomal RNA, 535 nt
Filed under: Trigonopterus pumilus
Lineage: Eukaryota; Metazoa; Arthropoda; Insecta; Coleoptera; Curculionidae
Description: partial large subunit ribosomal RNA
Rfam family: Archaeal large subunit ribosomal RNA
Source: RNAcentral
UUUCAAGUCUGACCUGCCCAAUGAUAGAUUAAAUGGCCGCGGUAUAUUGACCGUGCAAAGGUAGCAUAGUCAUUAGUUUUUUAAUUGGAAGCUUGUAUGAAAGGUUUGAUGAGAAAGUAACUGUCUCUAAGGAAAUUUAUUAGAAUUUUAUUUUUAAGUGAAAAGGCUUAGAUUUUUAUGGAAGACGAGAAGACCCUGUAGAGUUUGACAGAUUAAAUAGUUGCUUAAAGAAAAGGUAUAAUAGGUGAAAUUUAGCUUGUAUUUGUUUGUUUUAUUGGGGUGAUAGGAAAAUUGAUUAAACUUUUCUUUAUAAAAAUAUUGAUGUGUAAAUAUAUGAUCCUUUAAAAGAUUAUAAGAGUAAAUUACCUCAGGGAUAACAGCGUAAUUUUUUUUAGAGUUCUUAUCGAAAAAAUAGAUUGCGACCUCGAUGUUGGAUUAAAAUUAAUUGUUGGUGUAGAAGCUGAUAAGAUAGGUCUGUUCGACCUUUAAAAUUUUACAUGAUCUGAGUUUAAACCGGUGUGAGCCAGGUCGGUUU